AAUUUCAAUAUUUUUAAUAACAAUGAGUUUUUUAUACUCUAUUAACUAAAUUGGGGACUCUGAGUCUAUGAAGACGAACUGAGACGAUUGAUUGCGAGCAACUUGUGUCAAACUAUCUGUUCGUGUGUUUAGAGUCCUUGAAACGUAUGUGAUCUUGAAAGUCGCAAAGCUUCUUCGGAUCCGUUCAAUUUCUUCUAGGUACGUUAGAAAAGCAUACCAUUCUUCUGUUUUCAAACCAUUUCACCAACCGAGAAUAUUAUCUUGCAAACAUCAAAUGAAAUUAUCGAAGAUUCUUUAUAUAUUCCAUCGCCCAUAUAAAAGUUUCGAAUUCCACAUGUAGUGGAGAAAGACAAUUCCUAAUAUUCGUCGUUUCCAUCAGGCCAUCAAAACCCUCAAAUGUGUUGUACCAGCUUUGACCAGAGAAUGACUCUUUAUCUUUCUAUCAGCUGUCUGUAAACCACCACCUCCAAAUCUUUCGAGACGAAAUUGGAUUCUCCUCUUUUGUGGUCUGGGAUCAAUACCAAAGUAUCCAUGCAAACUAAGCAUCAUUUAUGUGAAAGCUAAUCUUUCAAAACAAAUAAUCCAUAUUCGCGAAAAUAGAAUGCAUAGAAAAACUUUUUGGCGGUGUUACAAUUCAUACUCACUCACAGAGCGCAACGUUGCACACCAUGGAAGGUCUAGGUCAGAACCGAGAUGAUUAACCAGCUCUGAUACCUCUUUUGUGGUCUGGGAUGGUGAUGUAUGUUCCACAUGUUGCAUUUGUACCUCUUGAGCCUCCUUCCAAAUAAUUUCCUCUGUAUGUGCUAACAUUAACAUAUCCCUAGGGUCUCUAUCAAUACCAAAGUAUCCAUGCAAACUAAUCCAUGCAAACUAAGCAUCAUUAAUCCUUCAAAACAAAUAAUCCAUAUUCGCGAAAAUAGAAUGCAUAGAAAAUUUAUAUGGCGGUGUUACAAUUCAUACUCACUCACAGAGCGCAACGUUGCACACCAUGGAAGGUCUCAAGACGACUAUUAGGUCAGAACCGAGAUGGUUAACCAGCUUUGAUACCACUUGUAACACCCCGAUCGUCCAUGGCUAAUGAGCCACCAACGCUCGCUCAACCGGCCCGUGAACCCCAUGAUAUCACUCAAAUUACCCUAAGGAGUGAUUUGUACUCUCUCAAACUAAGUAUCAUUUAUGUGAGAGCUAAUACGUCAAAACAAAUAAUCCAUAUUCACGAAAAUAGAAUGCACAGGAAAACUUUCUGGCGGUGUUACAAUUCGUACUCACUCACAAAGCGCAACGUUGCACACCAUGGAAGGUCUCAAGGCGACUCUUAGGUCAGAACCAUGAUGGUUAACCAGCUCUGAUACCACUUGUAACGCCCCAACCAUUGACGGCUAGUGAGCCACCAACGCUUGCUCAACCGGCCCGUGAACCCCAUGAUAUCACUCAAAUUACCCUAAGGAGUGAUUUGUACUUUCUCAAAUAAGAGGUCGAGUUGCGGUACUUAGGGAUCAAAUUCACGGGGGAGCUAAGGUACACAAAAGAUCUAGAAGUUAUGUGGUUAAGCUAGGCAAACAUGUUUAAAUGUAAAUAGCAGUGGUGAACAAGCAAUUGUUCGGUUGAUUGACAGAUAUGAAAGGCGUAAGACUUAGGAUUUCUAUUCAGACAAUCACGAUUAUAGAGAUAUAGAUACUAAGCAUAUAUUGGAUAUUCUAGAACUCAAACAGUAAGAAUAGUCGAUCAAUUUUCGUAUUUUUAGACUAUCUAUUGCCGGAUCUAGACCUCAAUUGUUGCUUGUUGGUCUUGAGAAAGUGUAGAUCGAUACCAAUUAAGGAUUGUCGAUAGAUACACCUUUCAGUCCGUCGAUCGAUGCAACUACUGAGUUGUCGAUCGAUGAACCUUCCAGGAAGCUUUAUGCACGGGUUUGACGUGUUCACUAGGUUUAACUAAAUCAGCUUCCACUUGUUUCUAGCAAUCCUAGCACAAUCCAAACUAAUUCAGAUAGAGGACCAAGCUUCCGCUUCCGCCCUAAUAUCUAUAAGCAAGGUCCUAGUUAGCUAUUCUAGAACACAUGUAUUAAGAACAUUUUAAUUGAUGGAUAUCCUAAUACUUAGCAAUUCUAUAUUUUGGGCUAAUCUCUCAUCUCUCAACCCUAAAUCUAACAAAGAGAAUUACUCAGACAUAGCUAUUCAUCACAAAGAAAUAUGAAAGCUCCAUAAAUAGAUAAGAGUAGAAAAACUUGGAGUUCCAAUCACAAAUCUUUGAAGGAGUUCUUGGAUCUUCUCUCCAAACCUAAGACUCUAAGUAUUUUUCUGUAAGAAAAGUAUGAAAGUAUGUGUUGCGUAGAACAAUGGCAGAACACAUAAAUAUUAGGUUAAUACUCGUCAGGGGUAAUAUGGUAAUUCUUGUGGGACUUGGGCUUAAAGUCGACUGGAACCAAAUAUGGCCUUUGCGAGCUUUGCCGUCGAUCGACAUACCGUCGAUCGACAACACAGAGUGUGUGUCGAUCGAUUAUCAUCUUCAAUCAUCGAUCGCUAGACUGUUCGAUGGUCACUACGGGUCUUUAUCAUUUUAUCUCCAAAAUGCACCAAAAUCACCACUUUCCUCCAAAUCACUUCAAAACCUGAAAACAUACUAAAAAGACUCCAAAACAACAACAAUAUAUUUAAAAACACCUAUAUACCAUGGUUAAAAGUGAGUAAAGUCCAUGGUAUAUCAACACCCCCAGACUUACUCUUUUGCUUGUCCUCAAGCAAAACAACGAGUAGUCUCUCUGGAAGCGAUUUAAAACAGCAAGGACUCACAAGAUUUAAGAACUUACUAUCAUCACCUCAACAAAAUUGCAGACCACAUCAAAUCAAUCUUAGCUUAGAAGUACUUUUUAUGCAAUAUCCUAGUUUAGCAACCUAUUCCAUUCAUCCAACAAAUUAACUAAUCAUGUCUGAGUAAUGAUACCACUCAAAUUACCCUAAGGAGUGAUUUAUACUCUCCAAAUAAGAUGUCGAGCUGUAGUACUUUGGGAUCGAAUUCACAGGGAGCUAGGGAACCUAAGAAAUCUAAUAUGAUUUGUUAAUCAAGAUGGUUUUAGAGAUUUAAAUGUGAAUUACAGUUUAAUAUUGAACAAGUGUUUGUUCAAUAUGAUUGGUUGAAGUUUUGGUGCUUAAACAGAAAAUAGUUAGACUUAAGGUUUUUAUUCAGAAAAAUUGGGAUUAUAAUCCUACAAAUGCUUAAUUAGUUGCAUGAAUGAUAAUUAGUCAAUCAGCUCUCGCAUGUUUUGACUUGUCUAUUAACUAGAUCUAAUGAUCUCAACUCUUGUUAUUUUGAUCAAUAGAAAGUGUCGAUCGAUAAUCCUAUAGGGAUAUCGAUCGGUACACCUUUUGCUCCGUCGAUUAAUUAUUCAAGUAUGAUAUCGAUCGACGCGCUCUAGUCAAGCUUUAUGUGCGCAUUGAAUAAUAGCUUACUAAGCUCACUAGAUCAGCUUUCGCCUUGCUCAUAGCAAGAAACAUAGUUCAAUUAGAAUGUUUUCAGGAUGAGAAUGAAACUCUCGCUUUUAUCAAUCAAUCCUAGGACAAGUUCUAGGUAGCUAAUCUAGACACAUGCAUUAAUGAAUAAUCCUAAUGAUGAUUAUCACAACUCAGCAAUCUAUAGUUGGGGCUAAUCCCUCCUAACCUAUUUAAACCCUAAAAUCUAACAAUGGAACUACUCACACAUGGCUAAGCAAUUCGUAACAGCAAUUAAAUAUGAAAACUUCAUUAGAAUAGUAAAUAGAUAUUAAUGGAGUUCCAAUCACAAAUUGUAAUUUUGGAUUUUCUCUCCAAUCUAUCAAAAUCCUAAAAACCUUGCUGUGGAAUUAAUAAAACUAGGAAAGCACACUUUGCCUCUAACGUGGUGGCAAGGUUUAUAUAAUUAGGGUAAAACUCGUCAGGGGUAAUCUUGUAAAACGGUGAAGACUUGGGCUUCAAGUCGGCUGUGACCAAACGGGCUUUAUGCGCUCUUCGCUGUCGAUCGAUACACAGAUGUGAGUAUCGAUCGAUUAUUCAUCUCCAAUAUCGAACGAUGGUCGAGCUCGAUGGUCAUCUCGGGUGCUUGCUCCAAGUAUCUCCAAAAUGCUCCAAAAUCAUCACUUAUCUCCAAAACACUUUUGAUCUUAUAAAUAUAAUAAAUAGACUCUAUAAUAUAAUAAUUAUUAGUAAGAACACCUAUAAACUAUGGAUGAAAAUGGGUCAAAUCCAUAGUCUAUCAACUCCCCCAGACUUACCCUUUUGCUUGUCCUCACGCAAAACAAACAGGCAGUCUCUCUGAAAGAGGUUUAAAACAGCAUGGACUCACAUGAUUUAAAAUUUAGAAUCAUCACCUCUACAAUAUUGCAAUCCACAUCUAAAAAGUCGUAAUCACAAAAGCACAUUAUACCAUAUCCUAGCUUAGCAACCAAAUUUAUCUAGCCAACAACUUAGCAAAUCUUGUUUGUCAUUUUCCUCUAUCAGCCUCAUUUCUUAGCAUAAAUAAAAGUGCAGGUUUUACCUUGGGGGUAUCUAUCACAUGAUGCAAGGAUUUUCAAACAAGUAUCUGGACCUGCAGGUAAACAUUAGUUCAUAUCCUCUCUCUACUAAUUUUCUCUCCUAAUCAAAGUUUGCUUAUAUUAGCAAGAUCAUUGACCAAGAUUGGACAGGCUUCCAUGAAUCAAGCCUUAAUGGUGAUUGCCACCAAGUCAUGUUCACUUCUUUUUAACUGGAUGGUUUCCUUAGUAACCUCGGAUUUGGAUUUUGAUUAUCAUUCUCUGCACCUUUCUUUUGUUUCCGAGGAUUCUUGUCUUUUCGAACCUAUUCGUCUACCACGUUUCAUAUGUUGUCUAGACUCUGUAGCAACUUGACUGUGUCUCUUCUUGGACAUCAAAUUCGUUGGUGCUUUACAAGCUGGUUUAUAUAUGACUUAGUCAUUCUUUUUCGGGUCAGCAAAUGUGUCUGGCAUUUGAUUAUCUAGCUUUGUAAAUGUACAAUCUUUGGACGUCUAUUUCACAUUCUUUAGUCCGAGGAUCUUGCCAAGACUUUGAUGGUUGAUUCCAUUCUAUUUCUUUUACCAUUCUUUUACCAGCUUUAUUAUUUUUCUCCUCCUGGUCUUAAAAUAAUCUGUGUAUCUGGCCUCAAAUAUAAUCACCCAUAGUUGGCUCAAGGUACUUUAUUAUUGUGGGAGAAUCAUAUCCAACAUAUAUCCCCAUCCUCCUUUUGAGGUCCCAUUUUAGUUCUAUGUGGUGGAGUAAUUAGUACAUAGACAACACAUCCAAAUGUCUUAUGAUGGGGUAUGUCUGGCUCUUGACCCGUUAAUAAUUGUGAUAGGGGAUAUAUAUGCUCACUAAAUGGCCUGAUGCGUAUUAACUUAGGUGCAUGUAAAUUUUGUGUGGCCCAAGCUGUGAAAGGGAGUUUUUACCUCAUAAGUUAUGGUCUAUCAAUCUGUUAUUUGCGUUUUAAAAGAUUUCGGCCAAGUCGUUCUUGGUAUGGACAUGUAUCACAAAAUUGUCCACACUUACUCCCCAUGGACAUACCAUAAUCAUUUAAACGCUUGGAACAUGUAUUCACCAGUAUUAUCUAGACAUAUAGUCUUUAUUAUAAAAAAAGGGCUCGUAGCCGUUUUACUGGUGAUGACCUAAUGAGUUUUCCUUGUGUACAUGCUACACACGUGAGAUUCUUUGGGAUAACUCUUCUUAUGUUUUAAUGUGUGCCUUUUGAAUAUCAAUUUUCGCAUCAUGUUUGGACCAGGAUGGCCAAUCCGGUCGUGCCAUAAAAUGUAUAUUUUUGCAGGAUUUUAGCCUCUAUCAUACUGAUCUAUGCAUAGUCUAGGUCAGAAGAGAAUGCAGGUGUAGUCUUUAGGACUUAUUAUGGCCUUGGGCGAUUUUAUACAUAUAUCUGAAGGAAAUCUUUGUUUCUUUCGCCCAUUGUUUCAAUAUGGAAACCAUUCAUUCUUAUAUCUUUAAAACUCAAUAGGCUGCUCUUGCUCUUAGAGCUGGGUGAAUAUAAGGCAUCACUGAUUUCUAGAUGCAUACCCUUAGGCAAUAAUAUAUUAGCCUAGCCAUAGUCUUCUUUCAGACUGGCGAUACCUGCUUAUAUUGGCGUUUUUCAGUGUACUCAUAUAGAAAAAUCAUUCAUUCAUUUAAUCUAAGCAGACAAUGUAAUAGAAAUAAAUUCAAGGAGAUAAAAAUCAGAGAAAGCAUACAAGCAAAGCAAUCACACAAGUUUGAUGUCAAAAUCAGAUCAUCAACUUGAUUCUUUUAGGCAAUCAUAAGUCUCAUAUUCCAUAAGAUCAUCUUGAUCAUGUUCGAAAUUAUUUUCACCAUCUUUAUAGACCAAGUGGGUUUCAGGAUUCUUCCCUUUCAGACUCUCUUUGAUAGAGGUCACAAAAAUGUUUGGGAGUCCUUCAUAUCUUAGCCCAAUAGUUCCCCAUUCCACAUCUAUAGCACACUGAUUUGGUCGAGCUUUGUGGUUUAAAGGAUAUAACACGUCCACUGCCUUAACCAUGGCUCAAAUUGGGUUGAUACCCACAGCCUCUGCCAUAGUGAUUUCCACGGCCAAAUGUGUUAUAGUGGCCAUGGCCACGUCCUUUCCACCCUCCACGGCCAUGGCCGUGUGGUCUAUCAUUCUGGACGUGGUUACCUUUUUUUUAUGCGGCCUUAUUGGUAUCAGGUAAUGGGGUUAAUCCAGGAGGUCUCAAUUCACUGUUUCUCAUCAGUAAUCCAUUAUUUUGCCCAGCUAGCAAUAGACUCAUCCACGGACUUAUAGUCCUGGAUUCUGGGAUUCCUCCCAUCAAAUAGGGCCUUUGGUAAUAACACCGUUCUUUGGUGAUCAUAUCUCGAUUUUGUAACUCUGUCCAAAGGUCUAGAGGAUUUUCUAUAGUCAGAUACUGUUCUUUGAGACUCUUAAUAAGAUGAUGGCUAAUAAUUAAUAUUGCCCUGUAUCAAUCUUUCUCAUUUGGCAUUAUCGCCUUUUGUGAUUCAUUCACCAAGUCCUUUGACUUUAGGAUAAACUCAGUAUCCAGUGCCUAUUUCAAAUAAUUAUCUCCUGAGAGAUUUAGGGCAGCAAAAUCCAAGUUGAUUUUCGACAUCUCAAAUCAUAUAUCAAUCAAUUUUAGAUCUCAUAAAAUAUUUAACAUACGGCCAUAAACAAGACAUGCUAUCAAGUCAAUACAUUUCUAAUAAGAAAACAAGCCACACGGCCAAAGGUGAUAUAAUGCAAUAGGGCCACACGGAUUUAUCAAGCAAGGGUAUCGACCAAACAAGCAAUUUCUAUAUGUUUUCAUGCGGCCAUAUGGUUAUAAUGCAAACCUAGCAUACUGAUUCUAUAUGUACAGGAGUGGAAUUAUGGAACCUCAAUUUAAAACAAUCAGAUCAUGCAAAGGUGAUAAUAAUCAGAUCAUGCGCAUAACAUAAACAUGUUGGUGAGGAUGAUAUAUGAUACAAACUGGCGACACAGCCAAGUAGAUAUGAUGCACUCAAUCUUAGCAAUCGGAUUCUAUAUGUGCAAAGGUAAUAUUAAAACAUUCAAUCAAGGUUUAGUAAUUAGUCAAUCAGUUUCAGGUAUGAGAUUUAGCUAGACUAACAAUCAGAUUCAAUUAGGUUUUAUCAAGACUAGCAAUUGGAUCAAUAAUCAAAAAUAAUCAAACGGAUUCAAGCAUUACACAAUUUAGGGUUUCGAUCCAAAAAUAGGGUUUCAAUCAUGAAAAACCAAAACAAUCAGUUUCAAGGCUGAUUCUAUCAAUUUUAUUAAUCAGUUUCAAGGCUAAUAUUAGCAAGAUGGAAUCAAGCAAUCUGAUUUUAGGAAUACGCAAAUUAGGGUUUAGGGUUUCAAUUCGAAAUUAGGGUUUUAUCAAUCAAUCAGCUUCUAGCAAAUGAUCUUAAACCUCAGAACAUUUGAUUAUAUCAUGAAACUAUUAACCUAGUAUAAUAUGAAACCUCAAAACAUUCAAUUCGGAUUAUGCAAUACAAAUUAGGGUUUAUCAAUUCGAAUUAGGGUUUAUAUUAUAACAGAUUCUAACAUGGAAUAUUAAACCUCAAAUCAUUCAAUCAGGUUAUAAAAACUAUCAAUCCUAACUCACACGGAUUUAAACCUCAAAGAAACAUUCAAUCAAUCAAAUAAAACAAUCCAUGCACACGUAAUUUAGGGUUUACAGAUUUUAGGGUUUCACUUUGAACAUUAGUUCAUUCGAUUCCGGGUUCUUAGAGUUUAGGUAUACCUUAAACCUUUGAUGGGUUGAAUGGACCACCAAGAGAAUGAGCUUACGUGGACUGGUACAAACUGGAACCUUACGCGGACUGGUCCAAACUGUUUCCUUGCAGUCCGCGAGCUUAGAUCUGGAACAAGAGGUGAUCGAUAGAGAUUAGGGUUUUAGCAAUGGAGAGAGAUUUAGGGUUUAUGGUCGAUAUUUUAGCAUAGGGUUUUAGAGAUCAAUCGUACUGAUAACGUGUUGUGAAAGUAAUAGAAAAGUCUAUUUUUAUUCAUAACAUAUAUGUUCCUUAUAUAGGAGAUUGCACCGUCAUAGAUAAAUGGAAAGAGUACAAAUCAUAAUCCAACUAGGAAAAGGAGAAAAGGAAAAGCUGGCCGACUCUCUCUUUCUUGGGCCGCCGAUGAUAUAAUCUCUUGGUUAUGAGCCAUCCACAAUCUGGUUCAUAACACGAUCCUCCAUAUUUCUUUUUUUAUCUUUCUCUUUGAUUUUCUUUUGAGUCUGAGAGUAUACACAAAACUAGUUUCGCCGGACUUCUGAUAGAGUGACGCAAAUCAGAAGAUUUUUGCAGUUGUAUCUUGGGACUCAUUACUUUAUCGAACCGUCGCACUAUGGGACGUAUUUUGAGUUAAGGAAAGAGAUAAUAUCUCGCCUCUACAGUUGUAUCAUCAUUUUCUUAAUCUUUGGUAUAAUCUUAUUAAAUUUAUUCUUUACAAGAUUCAGUUAUCCGUAAUUUAUAUAAUACGGUCCUAUCAGAAACUAACAGAUACUUUCAAGGAAUCCCUAAUACCUCUUUGAUUUAGGGCAGUUUUGUAUUUCAACGUUUUCUUCUUUUUUUAUUGGUUUAGUGGGUAUGUGGGUCGGAUUAGACCUUGACGGGUUAUAACUAAGUUAAACAUGA
Molecule: long non-coding RNA, 9094 nt
Organism: Brassica rapa (field mustard)
Lineage: Eukaryota; Viridiplantae; Streptophyta; Magnoliopsida; Brassicales; Brassicaceae
Source: RefSeq, a predicted model, not a curated record